AGCGAACGCUGGCGGCAGGCCUAACACAUGCAAGUCGAACGAACUCUUCGGAGUUAGUGGCGGACGGGUGAGUAACACGUGGGAACGUGCCUUUAGGUUCGGAAUAACUCAGGGAAACUUGUGCUAAUACCGAAUGUGCCCUUCGGGGGAAAGAUUUAUCGCCUUUAGAGCGGCCCGCGUCUGAUUAGCUAGUUGGUGAGGUAAAGGCUCACCAAGGCGACGAUCAGUAGCUGGUCUGAGAGGAUGAUCAGCCACAUUGGGACUGAGACACGGCCCAAACUCCUACGGGAGGCAGCAGUGGGGAAUCUUGCGCAAUGGGUGAAAGCCUGACGCAGCCAUGCCGCGUGAAUGAUGAAGGUCUUAGGAUUGUAAAAUUCUUUCACCGGGGACGAUAAUGACGGUACCCGGAGAAGAAGCCCCGGCUAACUUCGUG
This 433-nucleotide ribosomal RNA is filed under the name uncultured bacterium. Its description in RNAcentral is "partial 16S ribosomal RNA". It matches the Rfam family "Bacterial small subunit ribosomal RNA", at positions 29 to 507 of the family's 1533-position model. The record is from RNAcentral.